AACUGGUAUGACGAAGUCGACCUACUCAAUGUGGUUGAUCUGAUGGGUAAUUACCUUUGAAAGACAGGAAAAACAGGCACCGAGCACCGCAUCUUGGCCUGGUAGCGGCCUUCUUCAGUGUUGGGCCACCAGAUUUCGUCCUUUUUCAACCAAUGGUCUAUAUCUGUAAGGAGUAGGAACACGAGCCAUGUGAAAGAUUCCCGAAAUCAGUGCCUUUGAUGUAGAAGGCCCCACGGAUGAUCGGGAAUACUGUUUCAAUUGCGCUUUGAUUCGUUUGUUAGAUCCACAUUAAAAUUAAUUUUCCAGAUCAAGUAGCCCGAGAAUUGGGAUGGCCAGAACAUUUUCAGAAGCCACGGAGC
Long non-coding RNA from Drosophila persimilis, 359 nucleotides. RefSeq lists it as uncharacterized. Lineage: Eukaryota; Metazoa; Arthropoda; Insecta; Diptera; Drosophilidae. The record is from RefSeq and is a predicted model, not a curated record. The transcript is spliced from 4 exons.